UACGGAAGGCAGCAGUGGGGAAUAUUGCACAAUGGGCGAAAGCCUGAUGCAGCUAUGCCGCGUGUAUGAAGAAGGCCUUAGGGUUGUAAAGUACUUUCAUCGGGGAGGAAAAACAAAACUAAUAAUUUUAUUUCUUGACGUUACCCGAAAAAGAAGCACCGGCUAACUCCGUGCCAGCAGCCGCGGUAAUACGGAGGGUGCUAGCGUUAAUCGGAAUUACUGGGCGUAAAGCGCACGCAGGCGGUCUGUUAAGUCAGAUGUGAAAUCCCCCGGGCUUAACCUGGGAACUGCAUUUUGAAACUGGCAGGCUUGAGUCUCGUAGAGGGGGGUAGAAUUCCAGGUGUAGCGGUGAAAUGCGUAGAGAUCUGGAGGAAUACCGGUGGCGAAGGCGGCCCCUGGACGAAGACUGACGCUCAGGGUGCGAAAGCGUGGGGAGCAAACAGGGAUUAGAUACC
Molecule: ribosomal RNA, 455 nt
Filed under: uncultured bacterium
Lineage: Bacteria
Description: bacterial SSU rRNA
Rfam family: Bacterial small subunit ribosomal RNA
Source: RNAcentral